GCCGGGAGCUAGCUCUUUACAACUCUCACAUGGUCGCCCACGGAAGCUAAGCAGGGCUGCGCCCGGUCAAUACCUGGAUGUGAGACCACAUGGGAAAGCUAGAUUGCUGCUGGAA
Molecule: ribosomal RNA, 115 nt
Organism: Danio rerio (zebrafish)
Lineage: Eukaryota; Metazoa; Chordata; Actinopteri; Cypriniformes; Danionidae
Source: Ensembl